This 418-nucleotide ribosomal RNA is filed under the name Mastotermes darwiniensis (giant northern termite). RNAcentral's name for it is "partial 16S ribosomal RNA". The record is from RNAcentral. Lineage: Eukaryota; Metazoa; Arthropoda; Insecta; Blattodea; Mastotermitidae.
UUACGCUGUUAUCCCUAAGGUAAUUUAAUCUUAUAAUCAAAAUAAAUGGAUCAUUUAAAUAUAAAUAAAUAUAUCACCAACAAAGAGGAGUUUAUUAUAUCCUCUAAUCACCCCAACCAAACCAGAAAAUAAUUCAUCUUCAUAAAUCAACAAACAUAAACAAUUAUAUACCGGUAAAACUCUAUAGGGUCUUCUCGUCCCAUACAAACAUUUAAGUGUUUUAACUUAAAAACCAAAUUCAAUAACAUUUUAAAGGGACAGUAUGUGCCUCGUCAAACCAUUCAUUCCAGCCCUCAAUUAAAAGACUAAUGAUUAUGCUACCUUUGCACGGUCAAUAUACCGCGGCCCUUCAAAAACUCCAGCGGGCAGGUAAUACUUCAAAUUAAUUCCAAGAAGAGAUGUUUUUGAUAAACAGGCG